CUUAGAACACUUCUACUUACAAUGCAUCGGCGAAUUUCGAUGGCCGAUCCAUCCAUCCAUCCAUGGACGUGCUACUUAGCUCGAUCGAUCACGAGCUCAAGCCCCCACUCUAAUGGCGGCGCCGCCGCGGCGAUCGACGGGGCGAGAAGCCAUGCUGGAGAAGGAGCGCACAUGCUGCAAGCCGGCCGGCCAGCCAGCCCCGCCGUCGAGCACGUGCCCUGCUUCUCCAGCACGGUUUGCUCACCCCUCCUUCUUCAGUUCUUCUCCUAGGGCUAGGGCUAGGGCUAGAGCUAGCUAGGCCCUAGCCUCUCUCUCGCCAUUGGAGGAGGAGAGGAGAGCUGGGAGAGGUAGAGGAAAUGCAUGGUGAUGGCUGCAACUUGCAAGCGAUGUGGCGUAUAUAUAGGCGGGCAAAAGCAUAGUACAUGUGGUAGGAAGACAUGGUUGUCUAAAAAGACCUAACUUUCUCUGUGAAAGGGAG
This 478-nucleotide non-coding RNA is filed under the name Oryza sativa Japonica Group (Japanese rice). Lineage: Eukaryota; Viridiplantae; Streptophyta; Magnoliopsida; Poales; Poaceae. The record is from RNAcentral.